This is a non-coding RNA of Phthorimaea operculella (potato tuberworm), 79 nucleotides long. The record is from the annotation of a GenBank genome assembly. NCBI's taxonomy places the organism in Eukaryota, Metazoa, Arthropoda, Insecta, Lepidoptera, Gelechiidae.
GCGCCCGUAGCUCAGUUGGCAGAGCGGUGGAACGAUGAUCCACAUUCCACAGUCCCUGGUUCAAGUCCCGGCGGUCGCU